Molecule: ribosomal RNA, 388 nt
Filed under: uncultured bacterium
Lineage: Bacteria
Description: bacterial SSU rRNA
Rfam family: Bacterial small subunit ribosomal RNA
Source: RNAcentral
GACGAACGCUGGCGGCGUGCUUAACACAUGCAAGUCGAACGGUGACGAGGAGCUUGCUCCUCCGAUCAGUGGCGAACGGGUGAGUAACACGUGAGCAACCUGCCCCAGACUCUGGGAUAACAGUUGGAAACAGCUGCUAAUACCGGAUACGAGACGGAGAGGCAUCUCUACCGUCUGGAAAGUUUUUCGGUCUGGGAUGGACUCGCGGCCUAUCAGCUAGUUGGUGAGGUAAUGGCUCACCAAGGCGACGACGGGUAGCCGGCCUGAGAGGGCGACCGGCCACACUGGGACUGAGACACGGCCCAGACUCCUACGGGAGGCAGCAGUGGGGAAUAUUGCACAAUGGGCGAAAGCCUGAUGCAGCGACGCCGCGUGAGGGAUGACGGCC